AAGUCUUGUCAAAAUGUUGAUGGAUUCGCCAUUAUUUUUAUGUUUAAAGAUAAAAUAAUAUAAAAAAAACUGAAAAUCAUUUGUUGACUCAUCAUUAUGCUCAUAAUCAUCGCCAUUUUCAUCAUUGUCUGUAAGCUUAAGCUUUCUUUUACCAAGUGCUACAAGAAACAUUGUGAUUAUAAAUUCCCAACAGGAUCAACAGUUAAUAAUAAAUUGACUCGAAGUUUGUGCUUUUUCCUCUUCUUCUCUUCUUUCAAUUGUCACUUUAAUUAUCUAAUGUUUUCUGAUUCCAGUUGAUUUCCCAGUUAUACGUAUGAUAAUUAUAAUUACUUUCACUAAUGAUCAGCCGAAUAUUGUUUGUAAUUGUUAUUAAAUUCAUAAACAUUUGAUUCAAUUUUUGUUCAAUUACGUUACAUGAGAGGGUUAAAACCUGACUUUAACUCUAUGUAAAAACUCUACUUUAAUGAAUUCUGAAGCAAAAGGAGAUUCCAUGUCAUCAGCCUAAGUGCGUUUGGAGGGUUUGGUCUUGAUCUUUACUUUGGCUCGCCUCUUCCAGUGCCUAUUAAGAUGACAUGCGUUUCAUCUUCAAUUUAUAUGGAAAGGAAGUAAAGUCAACAGUCAUCUCGUCAACUCGUGUGCCAUCAACAAUAAAAAGAUGAACAUGAUGGCGAUGAUGAAAAAAGAAGGUACUUCUUCUGUUCUUCAAACAGGAACCCGACCCAAACACACGAACCACAUCCUCUUUAAAUAUUUGCUCAAAAGUUUCACUUUGCAUAUCUCGUCCUUUACGUCUACAUCCAAGUUGGUCAUCUCGGUAUCCAGGUCAACACUGUAAAGGAAAAACAAAAUAAUUUAUUAUCACCAUUAGUAUUAAUAGAAAAGUAUCAUUUUCAUCCCUUUUCUUCUCCUCAUCACAAUUAAUCUUUUCAUGAUAUCACAGUAAAAGAAGAUUAUUCAUUUGCAAAAUUGAAAACUCAAGAUACAUUUCUGCUCUCCAGAAAUACCUUUCUUCUCAUCUUUAUCUUCCUCCUCCUUCACUCUCUAUGUGCCACCAUGAACAAAACGCCUACACAGCCCAUCUCAACCUACAAUCGUGUAAACUAUCAUCAUCUUUAUUUUAAUCUUCAUAGAGUUAAUAUUACAACAAAUUGUAUUGGAUCGGUUAAAGAUUUUUGCAAAGAACAGGAAAAGUAAUUUCAAGAAUUUUGGGUGAACAAAUUAAAAUUUAUUCCUCCCGGAAA
Molecule: long non-coding RNA, 1241 nt
Organism: Tetranychus urticae (two-spotted spider mite)
Lineage: Eukaryota; Metazoa; Arthropoda; Arachnida; Trombidiformes; Tetranychidae
Source: RefSeq, a predicted model, not a curated record